UGGUGAAUGGAAUAUAAACGUAACUCAGCAUGCCACACAUGUAAUUGGAGUGCAAGUCAUUGGACACACAAAACACGUGGUUCACGUGUUAAGAAUAAAACUCAGAAGUAAAUUCAAAACAUGUUCUCCUUUCUCCUAACCUUCGCUCCCCCUCCGCCGCGCUGGAGGUCGCCUCCGACGGAGGAGGAUACUCAAUGACCAUAAUCAAUACCUCAUCUAAUCCAGUUUCAUAGCCUAAAUCCAAAAAUCAAAGUGUAUAUGUCUAAUUCCUAAAAAAAACUCGAAUCAAAGUAAAUUAUCUGAAGAACCCUAGCAAUUCAAGAAGAAAUUAAAUCACACUCUCUCGGAGUAAAAUCCCUAGAGGUUAGGGCUUUGACUCCCCUAACCUUAUGCUACAUACUGGUAACUCCUACAUAGUGAAAUGGUGAAGAAGAAGAUGAAGACUCACCGGAGCAGCGCCAGAGUCAGAAAUGACGCCUUACCAAGAUGUGGUGCAGGAUUGCUGGUCUGUUGGCUUGUGGUUGGUUGGUCAGUGUUGGCGCAAUGGUAUGCAAGAUGGUUGGCAAGGUGGUUGAAAAUGUUUGGAUGGUGGUUCGAAUGUUCAUUGCUUGCAGGAUGAUGCAAGAUUGCUUGAUUGUUGCAACUGACCUGACUUGGUAUUGUUGCAGAGUUUAUAUAUGCUGCUUGGAUCAUGUUUUGGUCUAGGCUUGGCAGGUUAUGUUGUUGGAUUUUUUGUAGAGUUUGUGUGCUAAUGUUACAGGGUGCUAGGCUUUUGGAUUUGCCCUGGCUUAUUUUUUUAAAAGGAUAAUGGUGUAGGUUUAUGGUUAGGUCCUGCUUAAGGCUCAAUGCCAGGCUAGACUUAAAAUGAGCUUGGUUAUGUCUUGCUUGCCUUAGGACUGUUUGUAUAGGUCUUAAGUGUUGUUCAUGGUUGUUUGGCAUGAUUUUGUGUGUGUUGUAAUAUCAUGUAUGUGUGUAUUUAUAAUUUGGUCUUGGUUAUGUAUAUGUUAAGUCAUUUGGUCAUGGUUGUAAUGGAAUGAACAUGGUUUAAGUAUUGGUUUGAAAUGAACAUGGUUUAUGUGAUUUUUGGA
Long non-coding RNA from Lathyrus oleraceus (garden pea), 1088 nucleotides. RefSeq lists it as uncharacterized. The transcript has 2 exons. Lineage: Eukaryota; Viridiplantae; Streptophyta; Magnoliopsida; Fabales; Fabaceae. The record is from RefSeq and is a predicted model, not a curated record.